Molecule: long non-coding RNA, 2402 nt
Filed under: Gallus gallus (chicken)
Lineage: Eukaryota; Metazoa; Chordata; Aves; Galliformes; Phasianidae
Description: lncRNA (ENSGALG00010027549.1)
Source: RNAcentral
GAAACACAUGGCUACACUGAGAAACAGAGCGCGGACCAUAAUGCAGCCAGCAGCAUCCCCUCUUUUACACCCCACAGGCUCCAUCUUCUCAAUGUUAUGGAGGAAAAUAAUUUCACAGCCAGUAAACUAGGCUAUUGUGUUCUCCAAGGAAAGAAUUUGUGUGCUAUGCCGCUGCAUAACGGCCAUAGGGGAGUUGCUCUGCGAAACCCUUUCCUUCUCCCUCCCUGCCAGUAGUUGCCUUAGUGACAAAACUAAUCGCUGCUGGUGCCCCUGCUCCUGUGAACAGGAGAAAAACAAAACCAUUUUUAUUGCUGUUCCAGCAAUCCUCUGCAAGUCCAACCUCAAGACGAAAUGUGCUGAUUAAAAGAUACGCUGCAGGUACUGGAGGAACACAAUGAAAAGGCAGAGUGCAGUGAAUGAAUCUUGUCUCUCAGCAGUGCUAUUUGAAGAACUUCUUGAAGCCAGUGGGAAAGAAAAAAUGAAAGUGAAUAAUAGGAAAAAUAAAAAAUAAAAAGUCAGACUUGGAGAUUUCUGCUCUUUCCACUGAACUUCUCUUUGCAUGAGUCAGAGGAAGGUGUGAAAUUAUAAGAAGAUCACCCUGUGAAGAUCUAUGAAAAUCUAGUCAGAUAAUCAACUGAGACUGAAGAAUGAUUCUUCUCAACCUGAAGUGCACAUCUAAAAUAGAUCAGACAGUCAAACCUCAGAAUUGCUGGCUGUUAAGUGAGGUCAGCACGACUAGCUUUGUAGCAGAAGUUCACUACAGAUGUCUAAAGCCAGAUGAGAAGUAUCACCUCAUUAAUCAAUUCAAGCACAGUAUGAAUGUAGUAAAGGACCAGCACACCAGCAAAGGCAGCUAUACAAAAGCUCUUCUGUGUGUUGAUAGGCAGUAGAGGUGCCAGUGAUAAAUUGGGCUGCACGUGGAACAAGAUUAAAAGUAUUAAGUUGGAGUGCAUUGCCUUGUACAUGAAUUUACUGAGUAGCUUCAAAGGGAAUGUAUGUUCAGUUAUGAUGGUUUGAGGGGAAAAAAAUUUUGUCAUUUUGUAUUGUCACAAAGGAAGACAUUCUACGUAAGUGCUAGAAGAUAAGGGAAAUCAUGGAAAACCUGAAGGAUUCAGAAAGACUUGGAUUGUUAGCAUUUGGAAGGAGACAAAGAAAUAUAGCAAUAAAAGCUGGGUUCACUGUGGUUGUAUGCUUGUUUUGUCACAGAUGUUCAGGGCACAAACUACCCUAACAAUGGCAUCCCUAAACUUGGUGUCCAGAUCUGAGAUAGUCACCUUGGGCUGCAAUAGAAGGGAAAAUGAUUAUUCUAUACUUACCAUUAGCAAGUGAUAUUCUUCCAUGUCUUGGAAAGCAGGGUCUCAAUGGACAUAGCAGCCAUUUGGGAGGACAGACAAGUUGAAAAGUGGUACAGGGGGUCUGCUUCUCCUCUCACUGUAGAAAUGAGCUAUGGACCUCACUGUUGCAUCAAUUGACUGACACUGCUCCAAGAUGAGUAAGAUUCAAAGAGAAACAGUGAUUACAUGGCUGAAAAGAAUAUCCAGAUAUAGCACAAAAGAUAAAAUUACACAGGAAGGCUAUAAAAUCUUCAGAUUUGAAAAGAUCAAGAUAUCCUUUAUUUUUUGUUGCUCAGAAGAGAUAAUCUGGGUUACAGACUGUAACGUCUGCUUAUUACAAACCAUUUUACACUUUUCGCCAGUCAAUGUUCUUUCUCAGGAAAGAAGUCCCUAGGCUAUUUCUCUGAUCCUAUAUGGACAUUUUUAUGUUGCUAGAGAAGAUGGAAGUCUCCAUUUGUGUUUAACAUGGGAUUUCCUCUUCUAGAUGGAAAUCAUCCAGUCUCAUUGAUUAAGUGCAAUUUCCACACACUUCAGUACAGCUCUGCAGGAUUUAAUGACUGCACCCAGCUGAGCAAUAUUCUCUGGAUUUGAUUCACUAUACAUAUUAAUUUUAGAGCCUGUCUCAAAUAACCUUCAUUGAUUUCUUCAUCAUAUAUACAAGUCUAACCUUGUUUGACUGGUUGCUUGAAAUGCAGUGCCAUUAUUCAGUGGAACAGGAAUUAAGACAGGCUGAUGUGGCUGAACAGAAUUAACGGUUUAAAAAAGUUGUCUGUCUGUGCUGAUGCAUUUGAGAAGAAAAGUGAUGGGGAUUCUGAGCACAGCGAGACCUGCAAGGUGCUUUGUAAAGCAAGUUACUUUCAAGAGAGAAAAAAAAAAACCAAAAACUGUCUGAAUGGUACAUUAGGCAUGAUCUGAUAAUAACCCCAAAAAUGUCUAGAAUGGAUACAAAUUGCAAAUCCACAGCUGUGACAAUGCAACUAUGGAUUUCUGGCCUCAUAGAUUUAGAGGAGCAAUAACUGCCAUUGCCAAACUAGUUAAAAGCAACGGCUGAAAGCGUGUAAGUUAGAC